Molecule: ribosomal RNA, 242 nt
Filed under: uncultured bacterium
Lineage: Bacteria
Description: partial 16S ribosomal RNA
Rfam family: Bacterial small subunit ribosomal RNA
Source: RNAcentral
AACGAACGCUGGCGGCAGGCUUAACACAUGCAAGUCGAAUGCCCCGCAAGGGGAGUGGCAGACGGGUGAGUAACGCGUGGGAAUCUACCUAGUUCUACGGAACAACAGUUGGAAACGACUGCUAAUACCGUAUACGCCCUAUGGGGGAAAGAUUUAUCGGAAUUAGAUGAGCCCGCGUAAGAUUAGCUAGUUGGUGGGGUAAUGGCCUACCAAGGCGACGAUCUUUAGCUGGUCUGAGAGGA